This 450-nucleotide ribosomal RNA is filed under the name uncultured bacterium. RNAcentral's name for it is "partial 16S ribosomal RNA". It matches the Rfam family "Bacterial small subunit ribosomal RNA", at positions 338 to 795 of the family's 1533-position model. The record is from RNAcentral.
CCUACGGGUGGCUGCAGUGGGGAAUUUUGCGCAAUGGGCGAAAGCCUGACGCAGCAACGCCGCGUGGGUGAUGAAGGUCUUCGGAUCGUAAAACCCUGUCGUCGGGGACGAAGGUGGCUUAGUUAAUAGCUGAGUUGCUUGACGGUACCCGGAGAGGAAGCCCCGGCUAACUCUGUGCCAGCAGCCGCGGUAAUACAGAGGGGGCAAGCGUUAUUCGGAGGUAUUGUGGGUAGUGGGUUAGGACACGGGUGUAAUCCCCGAGCUCAACUUGGGAACUGCAUCUGCGACUGGAAGGCUAGAGUACUGGAGAGGGUGGUAGAAUUCCACGUGUAGCGGUGAAAUGCGUAGAGAUGUGGAGGAAUACCAGUGGCGAAGGCGGCCACCUGGACAGUAACUGACGCUGAGGCGCGAAAGUGUGGGUAGCAAACAGGAUUAGAUACCCUAGUAGUC